This 458-nucleotide ribosomal RNA is filed under the name uncultured bacterium. RNAcentral describes it as "bacterial SSU rRNA". It matches the Rfam family "Bacterial small subunit ribosomal RNA", at positions 30 to 507 of the family's 1533-position model. The record is from RNAcentral.
AUUGAACGCUGGCGGCAUGCCUUACACAUGCAAGUCGAACGGCAGCACGGGGCAACCUGGUGGCGAGUGGCGAACGGGUGAGUAAUGUAUCGGAACGUACCUUUCAGUGGGGGAUAACGUAGCGAAAGUUACGCUAAUACCGCAUAUUCUGUGAGCAGGAAAGCAGGGGAUCGCAAGACCUUGCGCUGAUUGAGCGGCCGAUAUCAGAUUAGCUAGUUGGUGAGGUAAAGGCUCACCAAGGCGACGAUCUGUAGCGGGUCUGAGAGGAUGAUCCGCCACACUGGAACUGAGACACGGUCCAGACUCCUACGGGAGGCAGCAGUGGGGAAUAUUGCACAAUGGGGGAAACCCUGAUGCAGCGACGCCGCGUGGAGGAAGAAGGUCUUCGGAUUGUAAACUCCUGUCAUUCGGGACGAAUAAUGACGGUACCGGAUGAGGAAGCCACGGCUAACUACGUG